Molecule: ribosomal RNA, 367 nt
Filed under: Hepatozoon felis
Lineage: Eukaryota; Apicomplexa; Hepatozoidae
Description: SSU rRNA
Rfam family: Eukaryotic small subunit ribosomal RNA
Source: RNAcentral
AUCAGCAUAAAGAAGGUAGUGACAAGAAAUAACAAUACAAGGCAGUUAAAAUGCUUUGUAAUUGGAAUGAUAGAAAUUUAAACACUUUUUAAAGUAUCAAUUGGAGGGCAAGUCUGGUGCCAGCAGCCGCGGUAAUUCCAGCUCCAAUAGCGUAUAUUAAAAUUGUUGCAGUUAAAAAGCUCGUAGUUGAAUUUCUGCUAAAAAUAACCGGUCUGCUUUUAAUAAAGGUGGUAUCUUGGUGUGUUUUUAGCAAUAAUGUCCUUUGAAAUGUUUUUUACUUCAUUGUAAUAAAUUAUAUUUAGGAUUUUUACUUUGAGAAAAUUAGAGUGUUUCUAGCAGGCUAAUGCUUUGAAUACUGCAGCAUGGA